UUUCCAAAAAACAGCCAGCCGCACCUUCUCCCUCUCCCUCGAUAAUCUCUCUCUCUCCCUAAACCUUCUCUCCAUCAUCAGUCAAGCGGUGAUGUCGCACCCAUCACACCACCAAUGGUGGACCCCGCCACUGCUCCAAUUACCUACCAACCGGCGGCCUCCACCCAUCAACGAACCCGCUUAGAUCUGGCAAAAAAUGAGCGGCACACCACUGCCUCCCUCCUUGUCUUCUCUCGACGACGUCGUCCAUCCAAGUGUCACCAUGCUACCAGCAGCCACCUCCAGCCAGUGCUCAAUCGGUGAGGAUUCACCGAAAACUGACACCAAACGACAGAACCCAUUGGCAAGUUGAUUUGCAAUGAUACGUUGGCCCAAGUUGGACGCGAAUGGUGUAUUUAAUGAGUGUAGACUUUUUUGAAAAAAACGUUUUUAAAACUGUGUAGUAUUUACAGAGUUAAAUCUAUGUGGAUUAAACUAUUAGCAUAGUUUAGUUACUAGUUUUUUUUAUAAAAAAAAACUAUUAGCAUAUUUCACAGACUAAAAGGCAUGAAGAACUAUUACCAGUUUUAAAUUAAAGUUAGAUGUGUUCGCUGUAUUUAGUGUUCAUAGACUUAAAUCUAUGUGGAUAAAACUAUUAUCAUAGUUUAGUUACCAAUUUUUUAAAAAAACUAUUAGCAUAGUUCGAGAUGUUAUGCUAGCUCUAUGAGACAUAAUUUAAUCUAUGUAAAAAUU
RNAcentral lists this long non-coding RNA (732 nucleotides) under Capsicum annuum. RNAcentral's name for it is "long non-coding RNA (CANN_LNC006857)". The record is from RNAcentral. Lineage: Eukaryota; Viridiplantae; Streptophyta; Magnoliopsida; Solanales; Solanaceae.